UCCACCAGUAUACGCGGCGCUUAGGAGC
Molecule: non-coding RNA, 28 nt
Filed under: Bombyx mori (domestic silkworm)
Lineage: Eukaryota; Metazoa; Arthropoda; Insecta; Lepidoptera; Bombycidae
Source: RNAcentral